AUUGAACGCUGGCGGCAUGCUUUACUACAUAGGCAAGUCGAACGGUAACAGGGCCUUCGGGUAGCUGACGAGUGGCGAACGGGUGAAGUAAUAGCAUCGGAACGUGCCCAAGUCGUGGGGGAUAACGUAGCGAAAGUUACGCUAAUACCGCAUAAGCCCUGAGGGGGAAAGCAGGGGAUCGCAAGACCUUGCGCGAAUGGAGCGGCCGAUGUCAGAUUAGCUAGUUGGUGGGGUAAAGGCCUACCAAGGCGACGAUCUGUAGCGGGUCUGAGAGGAUGAUCCGCCACACUGGGACUGAGAUACGGCCCAGACUCCUACGGGAGGCAGCAGUAGGGAAUAUUGCGCAAUGGGCGAAAGCCUGACGCAGCGACACCGUGUGUAGGAUGAAGGUCUUCGGAUUGUAAACUACUGUCAGUUGAAGACGAAGGCAGUAGAGUUAAGAGCUCGAAUGCUGACGGUAUUCAAUUAGGAAGUCUCGGCUAACUCCGUG
This 490-nucleotide ribosomal RNA is filed under the name uncultured bacterium. RNAcentral's name for it is "bacterial SSU rRNA". It matches the Rfam family "Bacterial small subunit ribosomal RNA", at positions 30 to 507 of the family's 1533-position model. The record is from RNAcentral.